Molecule: ribosomal RNA, 583 nt
Filed under: uncultured bacterium
Lineage: Bacteria
Description: bacterial SSU rRNA
Rfam family: Bacterial small subunit ribosomal RNA
Source: RNAcentral
CCUAGGGAGGCAGCAGUGGGGAAUUUUGGACAAUGGGCGAAAGCCUGAUCCAGCAAUGCCGCGUGAGUGAAGAAGGCCUUCGGGUUGUAAAGCUCUUUUGUCAGGGAAGAAACGGUGAGGGCUAAUAUCCCUUGCUAAUGACGGUACCUGAAGAAUAAGCACCGGCUAACUACGUGCCAGCAGCCGCGGUAAUACGUAGGGUGCAAGCGUUAAUCGGAAUUACUGGGCGUAAAGCGUGCGCAGGCGGUUUUGUAAGUCUGUCGUGAAAUCCCCGGGCUCAACCUGGGAAUUGCGAUGGAGACUGCAAGGCUAGAAUCUGGCAGAGGGGGGUAGAAUUCCACGUGUAGCAGUGAAAUGCGUAGAGAUGUGGAGGAACACCGAUGGCGAAGGCAGCCCCCUGGGUCAAGAUUGACGCUCAUGCACGAAAGCGUGGGGAGCAAACAGGAUUAGAUACCCUGGUAGUCCACGCCCUAAACGAUGUCUACUAGUUGUCGGGUUCUAAUUAACUUGGUAACGCAGCUAACGCGUGAAGUAGACCGCCUGGGGAGUACGGUCGCAAGAUUAAAACUUAAGGAAUUGACGG